This 253-nucleotide ribosomal RNA is filed under the name uncultured bacterium. Its description in RNAcentral is "partial 16S ribosomal RNA". It matches the Rfam family "Bacterial small subunit ribosomal RNA", at positions 524 to 776 of the family's 1533-position model. The record is from RNAcentral.
CACGUAGGGGACGAGCGUUGUCCGGAUUCAUUGGGCGUAAAGCGCGCGUAGGCGGCCUGCUAAGUCGAACGUGAAAUCCCCGGGCUCAACCCGGGAACUGCGUCCGAUACUGGCAGGCUUGAAUCCGGGAGAGGGAUGUGGAAUUCCAGGUGUAGCGGUGAAAUGCGUAGAUAUCUGGAGGAACACCGGUGGCGAAGGCGGCAUCCUGGACCGGCAUUGACGCUGAGGCGCGAAAGCCAGGGGAGCAAACAGG